RNAcentral lists this long non-coding RNA (239 nucleotides) under Helianthus annuus (common sunflower). Its description in RNAcentral is "sRNA HanXRQr2_Chr12g0526531". The record is from RNAcentral. Lineage: Eukaryota; Viridiplantae; Streptophyta; Magnoliopsida; Asterales; Asteraceae.
UUCUCUCCACUUUCUGACUUUAUGCACGACCAGCAGAGCAUUCCAACAGCUCCCAAGCGUAACCUCGUUGUUCCAACCUUCAACUCAUCAACUCGCGGAAUUAACAAAGGAAACUUUGCAAAACCGUAAUUGAUGACGUUGAUGAUGAUGAAAGUUAGUAGGGUUGACUAGAUACACACUUUAGAAAUCAACCUUUUGUUGUUGUAUUUGUUUCGAACAUUAUGUUGUACUUGAUUUAU